Molecule: ribosomal RNA, 495 nt
Filed under: uncultured bacterium
Lineage: Bacteria
Description: partial 16S ribosomal RNA
Rfam family: Bacterial small subunit ribosomal RNA
Source: RNAcentral
GAUGAACGCUGGCGGCGUGCUUAACACAUGCAAGUCGAACGAAGCACCUCUCCCGAAGAUUGACACAGCUUGCUGUAGAUUGAUUCAUUUGAGGUGACUGAGUGGCGGACGGGUGAGUAACGCGUGGGUAACCUGCCUCAUAGAGGGGGACAACAGUUGGAAACGACUGCUAAUACCGCAUAGUAAGAAGAAUUCGCAUGUUUUCUUCUUGAAAGAUUUAUCGCUACGAGAUGGACCCGCGUCUGAUUAGCUAGUUGGUAAGGUAACGGCUUACCAAGGCGACGAUCAGUAGCCGGCUUGAGAGAGUGAACGGCCACAUUGGGACUGAGACACGGCCCAAACUCCUACGGGAGGCAGCAGUGGGGAAUAUUGCACAAUGGGGGAAACCCUGAUGCAGCGACGCCGCGUGAGUGAAGAAGUAUUUCGGUAUGUAAAGCUCUAUCAGCAGGGAAGAUAAUGACGGUACCUGACUAAGAAGCCCCGGCUAACUACGUG